This 606-nucleotide ribosomal RNA is filed under the name uncultured bacterium. RNAcentral's name for it is "bacterial SSU rRNA". It matches the Rfam family "Bacterial small subunit ribosomal RNA", at positions 248 to 854 of the family's 1533-position model. The record is from RNAcentral.
GAUGGUAAGGUAACGGCUUACCAUGGCUACGAUGUCUAGGGGUUCUGAGAGGAAGGUCCCCCACACUGGAACUGAGACACGGUCCAGACUCCUACGGGAGGCAGCAGUGAGGAAUAUUGGACAAUGGAUGGAAAUCUGAUCCAGCCAUGCCGCGUGCAGGAAGACGGCCCUAUGGGUUGUAAACUGCUUUUGUAUGGGAGCAAUAAGGGCUACGUGUAGUCCGAUGAGAGUACCAUACGAAUAAGCACCGGCUAACUCCGUGCCAGCAGCCGCGGUAAUACGGAGGGUGCAAGCGUUAUCCGGAUUUAUUGGGUUUAAAGGGUGCGUAGGCGGUUUGAUAAGUCAGCGGUGAAAUAUUUCAGCUUAACUGGAAGGGUGCCGUUGAUACUGUCGAGCUUGAAUUUAGUUGCUGUGAGUGGAAUGUGUGGUGUAGCGGUGAAAUGCAUAGAUAUCACACAGAAUAUCGAUUGCGAAGGCAACUCACAAAGCUAAUAUUGACGCUGAUGCACGAAAGUGUGGGGAUCAAACAGGAUUAGAUACCCUGGUAGUCCACACUGUAAACGAUGAUAACUCGCUGUCGGCGAUACACAGUCGGUGGCCAAGCGA